Ictalurus punctatus (channel catfish) is the source of this 2526-nucleotide long non-coding RNA. The record is from Ensembl. Lineage: Eukaryota; Metazoa; Chordata; Actinopteri; Siluriformes; Ictaluridae.
GUAAAGACGACGCUGUGGAACACGGGCAGUUUUUCUCAGCUGCUUCGGUACAUUUCUCGGAUCAGAACUGAAACUGUCAGCACCACGUCUUCAACCUCCUCAUCAUCUAGUCACGUUCAUGCAGUUGAUUAUGUGCAGCUGUUUGCAGUUCCCUACAUUAUCAACUGCUUCUGUCAUGUUCAUCAAAAUAUAUUAUACUGCUUCUCUGUGGAAAAGUCUUUACCCCCCAGAACAUCUGGACAUCACUUCACUGCAUAAAUCAUUCGGUGCGACACGGCUGAGCCAGUUCUCCUAGAUGUAUAGACAGUAGGAGAUACUGGCAGUGUGAGUACGCUGUUAUAUUGACAACACGGCUACGCGUUCUCUCUACCUUGGCGUUCUCACGGCCCGGAGAUGUUCCCAGACUGAAAUAUUUACUUCCGAGAGAUGAUUCCGAGCAAGUUGCAUGCUUUUGCAGGGAGCGUUUGCGUUGUGUGGUGUUCGGAGAAAAGCGCUUACUUAAACGCACUUGAAUGUUAAGCGCGAUUCGGGGAAAUGUACCGAGGCGACCGAGGAAAAAAACUAACACCGGAGAAUAAACCAAACCACAUUUCCUGUACACGUCGUGUAUUCGUUAAUAAAUCAGCAUGACACGUUCAAUUCGAAUAUUUUAUGUUGUUAUAUAAAAUUCAAAUUCAAAGCCUUUCAGGAAACCACAGUGCCAAAGUGCUGAACGCCUCUUACACAAAGCGUGCUCCUCAGGAGUUUACGUAUCUUCAGUUUUAGCAAGGAGCCGCUGUUUUAGAGUCACCAAACAGUGGCCAGAUGUAAGAUUAUUACUAGUCCUCCGUACGAAAGAGUCCGCUAAAUGAGACUGCUUUACUUGUGUAACUGUGUACACGUUUAAUCAGACGUUUUAAACAAUAACAUCUGACCUAAAGGUAUGAACUCAUUCUGUACCAGCUGACAUGAGAGAGAGAGGGAGAGAGAGAGGGAGAGACAGAGAGAGAUAGAGAAAGACAGAGAGAGAUAAAGAGAGAGAGAAAGACAGACACAGAGAGAGACACAGAGACAGAUAGAGAGAGAGAGAGAGAGAGAGAGAGAGAGAGAGACACUAACAGUGUAAAACUAUUCGAGCGGUCUGAAGCUCCACUGUGAAGUUAUUUAUGUGUAAACACACUGUUGGCUUCCUGUAGGCCGUGUCUUAGUGGUGUGUUUAUUUAUUUAUUUAUUUAAUACGAGCAACAGAAAAGACACAUGAAGUGAGAAGGGGUUCGUCGGUUCGUCGGUUCGUCGGUUUGUUGGUGUUUUUGUUUGUGUUUAUUUUUAAUUGUAACGGAUUUAAGUGGUACACGCUGGGCCUCGGGGUGUGGCGUUUGGCCUAAUCCUCCUUUGAGCUGUACAUAACUCUGAUUAAGCACUCACACACACUCUCACACACUCUCACACACACACACACACACACACGCACACACACACACACACACACUGCAGGCCAACAGCCGAGAGCGGGGAAGUUAUUUUGAGAUUUAAAAAUGUAUCCUCGGUUGCCAGAAAUCGGUUCUUACUUUGCUUUUCGGCAGCAAAACAACCGUCAGUCAUCUCCGUGUGUGUGUGUGUGUGUGUGUGUGUGUGUGUUUAUUUUAGAGCGUGUUCUAAAUUAAUUGCUUUAAAAAAAAAAAAAACAUAAAAAGAAAGCUUAAAGGUACGUGUGUUAAUCCAAGAGGAUUUAUAUUUGAACUAUUUAAAAAAAAAAAAGGUUAAUAUUCAUCUGUAGAAAUAUAAUAAAUUUAUAAUAAAUAAAUAUAAUGUUGUAUAGCAGCAAGUAGAUAUGGUUACAGAUGUUUAAUAUACGUCUGAUAAUAAAUGUGUCACAGUUCGGUUCUGUCGUCCUGCCGGCUUCUUCGUUCACGGUUCCUCCCGUUUAGCGCUCCACUUGUCCUUAUAUGGUCGCUGUUUCCUGUUCUGGUGUGCUUGUUACUUUACCAGUGUCACCUGUGGCGUGUUCCCUUUAACGGGUUUCUCCGUUUAAGCUCUCGGUGUGGCGUUAUGGUGUUACGGUGCGAGCCGUGUGUUGCUUUCGUAGCUGUGUUUAGAGUUUCCUUUUCCUUUUCUGUCCACGCUGGAGUUCAAGAACAAACAAAUGAGCAGGAGGUGGAUUUCAAUCGGCGAGAUGUUCCUGCGUUCCUCGUUUAACAAAAACAGAAACGCUUGAGCAGUGUGACUAGUGUACUAACGAAACAUUUACCCACAAUUCCUCUCUUUCUUUCUUUCUUUCCUUGGGUUCUUCUAGUUAUUUUGUUCGUGCUUUCAUUCCGUUCUUUCAUUCGAAUUAUUCCGUCAUUGCGUUCUUUCUUUUCUUCAUUUGCGCGGUUCUCGUUCGGUUCCUUCACUCGGGUUUCUCAUUUACUUUGUUCUUCCGUCGCUUCUUUCUUUUGUUCAUUCGCUCAGUUCUUUCUUUCAGUUCUUUGGCGGUCGUACAGUAGAGUGGUGAGUGUUUAUGACCCCACUGACCCCGGUGUCACAUGUAGACAUUUUAGAGAUAAA